AAUAAAUACCUUACAGAGGUCUCGUUAACCGAGAUCUCUCAAACGGAAUGAGUACAACGUGAAUCNUUUAACGAGGAUCGACUGGAGGGCAAGCCUGGUGCCAGCAGCCGCGGUAAUUCCAGCUCCAGUAGCGUAUAUUAAAGCUGUUGCGGUUAAAAAGCUCGUAGUUGGAUAUCAGUGCGUGUCCGGUCCGGUAUGCCNGGCGGUGNCGUUCGCGCGUCGCUGCUGGGCUCCCAAAUAUCGGCUGNCCGCAUUCAAUCGUGCCGGAUCCGUCGGCGGGCCGUUCUUCGNAGGGGCCUGUUGGCGGCCGGCGANGUUACCUUNAACAAAUUAGAGUGCUCAAAGCAGGCUCUNAAUGCCUGUAUACAUAUUCAUGGAAUUGGAGAAUACGUCCCUGGCUCGAUUUGGUUGGUUUUGNGAGUCGAAGGGAAAUGAUUAAUAGGGACUGACGGAGGCAUUCGUAUUGCGACGCGAGGGGUGAAAUCNUGUGACCGUCGCACGACGAACUACUGCGAAAGCAUUUGCCGAGAAUGUUUUCAUUAGUCAAGAACGAAAGUUAGAGGUUCGAAGGCGAUCAGAUACCGCCNUAGUUCUAACCGUAAACGAUGUCGACCAGCAAUCCGCAACGGUCACUACACGGACUGUGCGGGCAGCUUCCCCGGGGAAACCAGAGUUUUUGGACUCCGGGGGAAGUAUGGUUGCAAAGCUGAAACUUAAAGGAAUUGACGGAAGGGCACCACCAGGAGUGGAGCUUGCGGCUUAAUUUGACUCAACACGGGACAACUCACCAGGCCCGGACACCGUAAGGAUUGACAGACUGAUAGCUCUCUNUUGAUUCAGUGGGUGGUGGUGCAUGGCCGUUCUUAGUUGGUGGAGUGAUUUGUCUGGUUUAUUCCGAUAACGAACGANACUCUGGCCUAUUAAACUUGACACUGUC
RNAcentral lists this ribosomal RNA (937 nucleotides) under Amphibalanus zhujiangensis. RNAcentral describes it as "SSU rRNA". It matches the Rfam family "Eukaryotic small subunit ribosomal RNA", at positions 472 to 1367 of the family's 1831-position model. Lineage: Eukaryota; Metazoa; Arthropoda; Thecostraca; Balanomorpha; Balanidae. The record is from RNAcentral.